CGUUCUCCUUAAGGUCUAUUAAAUCUUAAUCUCUAGUGUCAUUAGUUCUAGAGGAGUUCGGC
RNAcentral lists this transfer RNA (62 nucleotides) under Ulva sp. A AF-2021. RNAcentral describes it as "tRNA-Asn". Lineage: Eukaryota; Viridiplantae; Chlorophyta; Ulvophyceae; Ulvales; Ulvaceae. The record is from RNAcentral.